UACGGGAGGCAGCAGUGGGGAAUAUUGCACAAUGGGCGCAAGCCUGAUGCAGCCAUGCCGCGUGUAUGAAGAAGGCCUUCGGGUUGUAAAGUACUUUCAGUCGUGAGGAAGGUGUUAAGGUUAAUAACCUUAGCAAUUGACGUUAGCGACAGAAGAAGCACCGGCUAACUCCGUGCCAGCAGCCGCGGUAAUACGGAGGGUGCGAGCGUUAAUCGGAAUUACUGGGCGUAAAGGGCACGCAGGCGGUUAAUUAAGUUGGAUGUGAAAUCCCCGGGCUUAACCUGGGAAUGGCAUUCAAGACUGGUUAGCUAGAGUCUUGUAGAGGGGGUAGAAUUCCAUGUGUAGCGGUGAAAUGCGUAGAGAUGUGGAGGAAUACCGGUGGCGAAGGCGGCCCCCGUGGACAAAGGGCUGGACGCUCAUGUGCGAAAGCGUGGGGAGCAAAC
Molecule: ribosomal RNA, 443 nt
Filed under: uncultured bacterium
Lineage: Bacteria
Description: bacterial SSU rRNA
Rfam family: Bacterial small subunit ribosomal RNA
Source: RNAcentral